Long non-coding RNA from Oncorhynchus tshawytscha (Chinook salmon), 2566 nucleotides. The record is from Ensembl. Lineage: Eukaryota; Metazoa; Chordata; Actinopteri; Salmoniformes; Salmonidae.
UGACAAGAUACCGCCCUAACGAUUGAGUCGGUGUCCAUAAAGCGACACGGUGGGCUGUCUAGCGGCCUAUUUUCUUUGCAUUGGUGGACACAUGUGAUUAUUGUAAACAUAUUUUUAAUAUUCGAUGACUGUAUUUGACGUCAAAUGUCUGUAUUAAAUGGAGAGAUAUGCUACUGCCGCCUUCAAAACAACUGGGAACUCGUAAAUCUCUGACUUCCGUGCGUUCAAAGAACUAGCAACCUGGGGAAAAAACUAGCUCCGACUGGGAAACGGUCAUCUAACUCUGAAUUCGAACUCGGGCCGCUUUCUUUUAUUUUAUUAUUAUUUAUUAACAACAAAUCAAUACAUAAAGUACGAGGGAACACAAGCAUACAUAGAUUACAAACAAUGGACAAUCGAGCUAGGGGAUACAAUAUCACAUUACAAUUACACAAGGACCUUAAGGGACACACAUAUACUUACAAUUCUAACAGCUUUUUUGUUAGUAGAGCAUUUAAAGCGCAAUUAAUGUGUUUUAUCUCCAGUACUUUGCCAUGAUUGUCAGUUAUGUAGCUGCUCUACUGAUAAUCUCAGUGCCUCCUUGCUGGGAUGACACAAUAAAUCUACUGCAGGAGAAUAUCAACACCAAACACAUUGGUUCACCGUUCCACGGGAGCGGACAGUACACAGCAUACCAUAAUGGAGUGGAAAGCAGUGGAUGGCCUCGUCCACUGAUCGUCGCCACUGUGGAAGUGGCCCUAGGACCAUGCCCCAGGACUACCUGACAUGAUGACUCCUUGCUGUCCCCAGUCCACCUGGCCGUGCUGCUGCUCCAGUUUCAACUGUUCUGCCUUAUUAUAAUUCGACCAUGCUGGUCAUUUAUGAACAUUUGAACAUCUUGGCCAUGUUCUGUUAUAAUCUCCACCCGGCCCAGCCAGAAGAGGACUGGCCACCCCACAUAGCCUGGUUCCUCUCUAGGUUUCUUCCUAGGUUUUGGCCUUUCUAGGGAGUUUUUCCUAGCCACCGUGCUUCUACACCUGCAUUGCUUGCUGUUUGGGGUUUUAGGCUGGGUUUCUGUACAGCACUUUGAGAUAUCAGCUGAUGUACGAAGGGCUAUAUAAAUAAAUUUGAUUUGGUCUGCCAUGAGGUGACUGUAUAGUUCCCUUAAGGAAAAGCACCUUUAGUAAAUCCGCUUUCUCUGAGAGCUUCCCAUGUCUGGAAUACAUUGCCAGACGACACACAUAAGUGCAUCACAUAUCACACUUUCACAAAAUGCAUGAAGACAUGGCUAAAGGUCAAUCAGAUUUGUGAACAUAAUCCCUAGCUGUGUAUUGCCGCUUUCCAUGUUGUCUGUAGCUUGUGAGGUGUGGAAACACUGUUGCUUUUAUGAAUUUUGUCUUGCUGCUUUUUGUUCUAUGUUGCUCUGUCUGUAUGCUACGUCUUGCUUGUCCUAUGUUGCUCUGUCUGUAUGCUAUGUCUUGCUUGUCCUUUGUUGCUCUGUGUGUGCUCACUGCUCAAUGAUUGUCUAUAUUGUCAUUGUUUUUAAUAACCUGCCCAGGGACUGAGGUUGAAAAUUAGCCGGCUGGCUAAAACUGUCACUUUUACUGAAACGUUGAUUAAUGUGCACUCUCCCUGUAAAAAUAAAACAAACUGAAAGAACAGGGAGGUUUUCAAACACCUCCCAAAGAAGGGCACCUAUUGGUAGAUGGGUAGACAUUUUUUUCAAAAGCAGAGAUUGAAUAUCCCUUGAGCAUGGUGAAGUUAAUAAUUAAAGUUUGGAUUGUGUAUUAAUACACCCAGUCACUACAAAGAUACAGGCGUCCUUUCUAACUCAAUUGCCGGAGAGCAAGGAAACCGCUCAGGGAUUUGCAACAAAGCACUAAAAUAGAACUGCAAACCAUGUGGCAAAGCAAUUCACUUUUUGUCCUGAAUACAAAGCGUUAUGUUUGGGGCAAAUCCAAUACAUUACUGAGUACCACUCUCCAUAUUUUCAAGCAUAGCAGUGGCUGCAUCAUGUUAUUGGUAUGCUUGUAGUCAUUAAAAACUGGGGAGUUUUUCAGGAUGAAAAAAUAAACAGAAUGGAGCUAGGCACAAGCAAAAUCCUGGAGGAAAAUCUGGUUCAGUCAGCUUUCCACCAGACACUGGGAGAUGAAUUCACCUUUCAGCAGAACAAUAACCUAAAACACAAGGCCAAGAAGACACUGGCUGAGUGGCUGAGUUACAGUUUUGACUGAAAUCUACUUUAAAAUCUAUGGCAACACCUGAAAAUGGUUGUCUAGCAAUGGUCAACAACUCAUUUGACAGAGCUUGAAAGAUUUUGAAAAUAAUAAAUUGGCUAAUUUUGCACAAUCCAGGCGUGGAAACCUCUUAGACUUACCAAGAAAGACUCACAGCUGUAAUCGCUGCCAAAGGUGAUUCUAAACUCAGGGGGUUGAAUAUGUAUCUAACCAAGAUAUAUUAGUGUUUUCUUUCUCAAAGUUUUUACCAAUAUUAGAAUUGUUCUUCCACUGACAGAGUAUUUUGUGUAGAUUGUUGACAAAAAAAAAUGACAAAUCCAUUUUAAUUCCACUUUGUAACACAAUAAAAU